UGCCAGCCGCCGCGGUAAUACGAAGGGGGCAAGCGUUGUUCGGAAUCACUGGGCGUAAAGCGUACGCAGGCGGACUGACAAGUUGGGGGUGAAAUCCCGGGGCUCAACCCCGGAACGGCCUCCAAAACUGUCAGUCUAGAGUUCGAGAGGGGAGUGUGGAAUUCCUAGUGUAGAGGUGAAAUUCGUAGAUAUUAGGAGGAACACCAGUGGCGAAGGCGACACUCUGGCUCGAUACUGACGCUCAGGUACGAAAGCGUGGGGAGCAAACAGGAUUAGAUA
This 279-nucleotide ribosomal RNA is filed under the name uncultured bacterium. RNAcentral describes it as "partial 16S ribosomal RNA". It matches the Rfam family "Bacterial small subunit ribosomal RNA", at positions 506 to 784 of the family's 1533-position model. The record is from RNAcentral.